GCACCCGUAGCUCAACGGAUAGAGCAUCUGACUACGGAUCAGAAGGUUAGGGGUUCGAAUCCCUUCGGGUGCAC
Molecule: transfer RNA, 74 nt
Filed under: Actinomadura verrucosospora
Lineage: Bacteria; Bacillati; Actinomycetota; Actinomycetes; Streptosporangiales; Thermomonosporaceae
Also listed under: 15 other names
Description: tRNA-Arg
Rfam family: tRNA
About the family: Transfer RNA (tRNA) molecules are approximately 80 nucleotides in length.
Source: RNAcentral